AGCGAACGCUGGCGGCAGGCUUAACACAUGCAAGUCGAGCGGGCAUCCUUGUGGUGUCAGCGGCAGACGGGUGAGUAACGCGUGGGAACGUGCCCUUCGGUUCGGAAUAACUCCGGGAAACUUGAGCUAAUACCGGAUACGCCCUUUUGGGGAAAGGUUUACUGCCGAAGGAUCGGCCCGCGUCUGAUUAGCUAGUUGGUGAGGUUAUGGCUCACCAAGGCGACGAUCAGUAGCUGGUCUGAGAGGAUGAUCAGCCACACUGGGACUGAGACACGGCCCAGACUCCUACGGGAGGCAGCAGUGGGGAAUAUUGGACAAUGGGGGCAACCCUGAUCCAGCCAUGCCGCGUGAGUGAUGACGGCCUUAGGGUUGUAAAGCUCUUUUCUCCGGGACGAUAAUGACGGUACCGGAGGAAUAAGCCCCGGCUAACUUCGUG
RNAcentral lists this ribosomal RNA (436 nucleotides) under uncultured bacterium. Its description in RNAcentral is "partial 16S ribosomal RNA". It matches the Rfam family "Bacterial small subunit ribosomal RNA", at positions 29 to 507 of the family's 1533-position model. The record is from RNAcentral.